RNAcentral lists this long non-coding RNA (420 nucleotides) under Ricinus communis (castor bean). RNAcentral's name for it is "long non-coding RNA (RCOM_LNC001496)". Lineage: Eukaryota; Viridiplantae; Streptophyta; Magnoliopsida; Malpighiales; Euphorbiaceae. The record is from RNAcentral.
CCCAUGAGCUCGAGUUCUUUGGUUGAUUGAGGUAAGCUUCAUAUAUUUGAUCUGUGCUGCCAUUGCUCUUAAUGAACCUAAUGCCAUGGGCUAUUCUCUCAUUUUCCGAACCUGCAUCAUUGAAAGAGAAUAUAUAAGCAUCCAGAGAGGUAUUAUCCAAGAAGAUAUUAAUAGGUGAGAGAUGAAUUUAUUUUUUGCUUUCUGACUGAUAUCUUGACUCACCAUUGUUAUGGAAAAUGAUGUUCUUUACGGUUGCAUAUAAAAGAACUGUGAUAUUUUCUAGAUUUCCUGCUCCCAGAAGAUCAGCUGAGGUGUGCCUUACUCCAAAUUCAUCAUAGGUAGUCCCGCCAAUCUUUGUACCCUCAAUAUGAUCCCAGCUAAAUCCGUUAUAAGGAAGAAAUCCUGCCUCAAGAAGACCAA